UAGCUGCUGCCAAUUCCUUUCCUGGUUUUGGAACUAGUGGUGAUGAUACUGCCCGUAGGAAAGAAAUUGCUGCCUUUUUCGGUCAAACUUCUCAUGAAACUACAGGUAAUUUGACUUAUCAUCCCUCAACUGUAAUCUUAGCAAUGCUGCUAAUUUGUUUUUGACUCUGUUUGCAUUGUAGUACUGAAUCAAUAUAUGAAAGUGUCUAUCGAUCGGGUGCAAUUUACCAAGUUGUCUGGUUUAUUUUUUAUGUUACUAAUUCCACUUAUUAUUAGAAGGUGUAACAUUUGUUCUUUCGCAGGUGGUUCCCUGAGUGCAGAACCUUUUACAGGAGGAUAUUGCUUUGUUAGGCAAAAUGACCAGAGUGACAGAUAUUAUGGUAGAGGACCCAUCCAAUUGACAAAGUACGUAAGAAAGAUCAAUAGAAUACCAAUUGUUGAAAAAUCACCUUAAAUGACCUUUGACAGGGGCAAUUAUAUUAAGGGUCAUUUCUCUAUAUCUGUUUCAUACGGAGUAUUAAAUAAGAACACUGAAAAUGCAUAUAUUUAGUGCCAUAAUGACUGAUUUUGAAAUGAUAAACUUUUGCAGCCAAAAUAACUAUGAGAAAGCUGGAAAUGCAAUUAGACAAGACCUAGUUAACAACCCAGAUUUAGUAGCUACAGAUGCUACUAUAUCAUUCAAAACA
RNAcentral lists this long non-coding RNA (685 nucleotides) under Nicotiana tabacum (common tobacco). RNAcentral describes it as "long non-coding RNA (NTAB_LNC004796)". Lineage: Eukaryota; Viridiplantae; Streptophyta; Magnoliopsida; Solanales; Solanaceae. The record is from RNAcentral.